UACGUAGGUGGCAAGCGUUGUCCGGAGUUAUUGGGCGUAAAGCGCGCGCAGGCGGUCCGGUAAGUCUCCGGUGAAAUCGCCCGGCUCAACUGGGCGGGUGCCGGGGAGACUGGCGGACUUGAGGAGCCUAGAGGCCGGUGGAACUCCCGGUGUAGUGGUGAAAUGCGUAGAGAUCGGGAAGAACACCAGUGGCGAAGGCGGCCGGCUGGGGGUGUCCUGACGCUGAGGCGCGAGAGCGUGGGGAGCAAACCGG
This 253-nucleotide ribosomal RNA is filed under the name uncultured bacterium. RNAcentral describes it as "partial 16S ribosomal RNA". It matches the Rfam family "Bacterial small subunit ribosomal RNA", at positions 524 to 776 of the family's 1533-position model. The record is from RNAcentral.